This 351-nucleotide ribosomal RNA is filed under the name uncultured Desulfuromonas sp. RNAcentral's name for it is "bacterial SSU rRNA". It matches the Rfam family "Bacterial small subunit ribosomal RNA", at positions 1030 to 1382 of the family's 1533-position model. Lineage: Bacteria; Pseudomonadati; Thermodesulfobacteriota; Desulfuromonadia; Desulfuromonadales; Desulfuromonadaceae. The record is from RNAcentral.
GGUGACAGGUGCUGCAUGGCUGUCGUCAGCUCGUGUCGUGAGAUGUUGGGUUAAGUCCCGCAACGAGCGCAACCCUCGUCCUUAGUUGCCAGCAUUCAGUUGGGCACUCUAAGGAGACUGCCGGUGUUAAACCGGAGGAAGGCGGGGAUGACGUCAAGUCCUCAUGGCCCUUAUGUCCAGGGCUACACACGUGCUACAAUGGCCGGUACAAAGGGUAGCAAGACCGCGAGGUGGAGCCAAUCCCAAAAAGCCGGUCUCAGUUCGGAUUGGAGUCUGCAACUCGACUCCAUGAAGUUGGAAUCGCUAGUAAUCGUGGAUCAGCAUGCCACGGUGAAUACGUUCCCGGGCCUU